This 253-nucleotide ribosomal RNA is filed under the name uncultured bacterium. RNAcentral describes it as "partial 16S ribosomal RNA". It matches the Rfam family "Bacterial small subunit ribosomal RNA", at positions 524 to 776 of the family's 1533-position model. The record is from RNAcentral.
UACGUAGGGUGCAAGCGUUGUCCGGAAUUAUUGGGCGUAAAGAGCUCGUAGGCGGUUUGUCGCGUCGAAUGUGAAAUCCCGGGGCUCAACCCCGGGUCUGCAUUCGAUACGGGCAGACUAGAGUUCGGUAGGGGAGUCUGGAAUUCCUGGUGUAGCGGUGAAAUGCGCAGAUAUCAGGAGGAACACCGGUGGCGAAGGCGGGUCUCUGGGCCGAUACUGACGCUGAGGAGCGAAAGCGUGGGGAGCGAACAGG